Microtus oregoni (creeping vole) is the source of this 150-nucleotide long non-coding RNA. RefSeq lists it as uncharacterized. The transcript has 3 exons. The record is from RefSeq and is a predicted model, not a curated record. NCBI's taxonomy places the organism in Eukaryota, Metazoa, Chordata, Mammalia, Rodentia, Cricetidae.
GCCUAGACAAGCUCCUGUCUGGAGUUUCUCAGGUAGCUGAGGCUGGUAUCAAACUUACCAGGCGACCAAAGACGACCUUGAAUACCUGAACCUCUUGCUUCAACUCCACAGGGUGACUUUUGCCUACGGGUCCCACAAGGAAGGAGAGAA